RNAcentral lists this ribosomal RNA (254 nucleotides) under uncultured bacterium. RNAcentral's name for it is "partial 16S ribosomal RNA". It matches the Rfam family "Bacterial small subunit ribosomal RNA", at positions 524 to 776 of the family's 1533-position model. The record is from RNAcentral. RNAcentral also lists the same sequence under 1 other name.
UACGGAGGGUGCAAGCGUUAUCCGGAAUCACUGGGUUUAAAGGGUGCGUAGGCGGCUAUGUAAGUCAGUUGUGAAAUACCUCGGCUUAACCGAAGGAAGUGCGAUUGAUACUGCGUAGCUUGAAUCAAGUUGAGGUAGGCGGAAUGUGACAUGUAGCGGUGAAAUGCUUAGAUAUGUCAUAGAACACCGAUUGCGAAGGCAGCUUACUGGGCUUUGAUUGACGCUGAGGCACGAAAGCGUGGGGAGCAAACAGG